UACGGGGGGGGCAAGCGUUGUUCGGAAUUACUGGGCGUAAAGCGCGUGUAGGCGGCUAAGUAAGUCGGGCGUGAAAUCCCACGGCUCAACCGUGGAAGUGCACUCGAAACUGCAUAGCUAGAGUCCUGGAGAGGAAGGUGGAAUGCUUGGUGUAGAGGUGAAAUUCGUAGAUAUCAAGCGGAACACCGGUGGCGAAGGCGGCCUUCUGGACAGUGACUGACGCUGAGACGCGAAAGCGUGGGGAGCAAACAGG
This 253-nucleotide ribosomal RNA is filed under the name uncultured bacterium. RNAcentral's name for it is "partial 16S ribosomal RNA". It matches the Rfam family "Bacterial small subunit ribosomal RNA", at positions 524 to 776 of the family's 1533-position model. The record is from RNAcentral.